AAGGAUCAUCAAGGCCUGGCCUCAGAGGAGCCCCUGGAUGGCCAGGCUUGAAAGGAAGUAAAGGGGAACGAGGCCGCCCAGGAAAGGAUGCCAUGGGGACUCCUGGGUCCCCAGGUUGUGCUGGUUCACCAGGUCUUCCAGGAUCACCGGGACCUCCAGGACCUCCAGGUGACAUCGUUUUUCGCAAGGGUCCACCUGGAGAUCGCGGACUGCCAGGCUAUCUAGGGUCUCCAGGAAUCCCAGGAGUUGAUGGGCCCAAAGGAGAACCAGGCCUCCUGUGUACACAGUGCCCUUAUAUCCCAGGGCCUCCCGGUCUCCCAGGAUUGCCAGGGUUACAUGGUGUAAAAGGAAUCCCAGGAAGACAAGGUGCAGCUGGCUUGAAAGGAAGCCCAGGGUCCCCAGGAAAUACAGGUCUUCCAGGAUUUCCAGGUUUCCCAGGUGCCCAGGGUGACCCAGGACUUAAAGGAGAAAAAGGUGAAACACUUCAGCCUGAGGGGCAAGUGGGUGCCCCAGGUGACCCGGG
This 523-nucleotide long non-coding RNA is filed under the name Pan troglodytes (chimpanzee). RNAcentral describes it as "long non-coding RNA NONPTRT010934". The record is from RNAcentral. Lineage: Eukaryota; Metazoa; Chordata; Mammalia; Primates; Hominidae.